Molecule: non-coding RNA, 144 nt
Filed under: unclassified sequences
Description: IMES-2 RNA motif
Rfam family: IMES-2 RNA motif
Source: Rfam by way of RNAcentral
UUUUAACUUAAGAGGCAACUCUUAACUGGCCAUCCAGGGAAAAAACCGAGAGGUUCAAGCUUGGAGGGCAGAAAGCUUCACGGAGUAGCGCUAAAAUCGUGAGGUGGUCAUGGCAUGGCAGUAGCGCAUACAAUGACGUGCCAA